GAAAGUUCUGAUCUUGACAGUUCACGUAACAUUCAAUCAAUUAUACCAUUGCUCUAUCUCUAAAGUUUUCUUUUUCUCCUUUUCUCAGUGUCUUACCAAGAAUGAAAGGCAACCUAUGUAAAAACUAUGGGCUUUCUAGUAUAAAUAAAAACUACUCAUCUCCAGAAAAUAAACAAUGACUGCUAAGAUGAUUGAAAAAAGAAAGGAGAAGAAAGUAGCUUGUAAAAGCGUGUGAAAUGCAUUCACGUUGGAAUCUCCUACAGGCACUUCAGGGUGUGGACAUGUUUUUCAGGUCUUCAGACUGUAAACAUUUUAAGUGUGAUUGCUGUGAAUGAAGGAAACCCAGAGCCAUCAUGACAAGCCUAAACUCAAAGGGGACUGAUUUCUUCUACACUGAAUGUUUCAUUAGUGACAGGGCCCAGAUAAUAAAGAAUUGUGCUCACUUCCUGUGAGUGAUGGCUUUCCCUCAAUUGUAUGCUGAGUAACAUUUACAGUAUUCAUUUUUAAGCACCCAUCUUCCUGGGAGCCCUAUUUCCCCUAAGCUUUCAAUUGAUCCUCCUAAGAGCAGAGAUCACUUAGGCACUGAGCUAUGCAGCUGCUGCCUGAGUCUCCUGGACGCCUGCCCUCACCUCCAGCCACAUGAAAAACAUUCAAGCUUUAACUUCAGAAAUGUUCUCUAACCCACUCCCAGACACCCAACUGAUUAAAUCAUAGAUUAGAGGAAAAAAUUCUUGCCUGAAAUUGUCAUCUUGCACGUAUGCUGAUGUCCAGAAGGACACAUCCUGGUGGGAAGUGACUGCAUGUUUUGUUCAUAUUACAAGUCCUGUUGACAAAAGAGAAUAAUACAGGUGUCCUCCUGAAACUGUCACCACAGUGACCUUCCUCAGUCAAAAAGAAAUAUAAAUAUUAUUGUGUUUCUCGUGUCUGAGGCACCUCUGAAAGCAUUUAUCUUUUCAGAGAGUUCAGCACUUCAUCUCACGGGUUAAUUAAACCAACCUGUAGUGGCAAAGUUUAGUGGUAGUGAAAAUAAACAUAAUCCUCUUUCUGUUGCCCAACCUUUCAGUUUCAUUUUGUAAUUUUUCAAUACAGGGGCACAAUAAGUGAUAAUCCUGGAUUCCAAAUGAUUUCCACUUCUUUCUCUGCCACCUUCCCUGCCCCAACACCUGCCAUCCCUCAUUUACACAAUUCAAGUAAUCAAGGGGCAGUUUGGCUCCCUUUUUCUGGAGGCAAACUUUUGCAGAGUUUUAACUUACUCAGUGGGAAGAAAAGCCCCCAAAACACUGAAGCAUACCAAGCAAAUAAAUAAAUAAAUGCACAAAGGCUCCCUGCGGUUGUCUGACGAGGAUACUGGAGCAAGCAGCCUGAAGAACAAACGUCUGACUGUUGAAACAGCGAGACAGGAAUAAACCCAUGGGGCCACAUCUGGGAGUGUGAGUGUGUGAAUGGAACUAAGCUGGUCUCCCACACAACAGGAAUUCCACCAAAAGUAUGCGCUCUGUAUGGGAGGACAGAAAAAAAAUGUGUUUAAAAUAUCACUAAGGAAACCCAGAUACAUUAUCUCUGCCAGACUACAGAAGACAGUACAGUUAGUGCUUGUCUCAAAAUGACAGAAACAGAGAACAUGCUUUGAUGAUGUCGAAGAUGCAGGAAAAUAGAAAAAUAAAAACGGUGGAAAGAUUUUUUUUUAAUGCCCUAAAAUGAGCAAGACGCCUCCCUUUUCAUAGCACCAGGAGACAUUUCCAUUGCUUUUUUUUCAUGCUUGUGGCUUUUUGAGGGCAAAGAGUAAGUGAAAUCCAAUAAUUUGGUCUUUCUGCUCCAAAGUUUUGGCUGCCAUAAACUUAUUGUUCGAAUAUCAGAAUGGUUGUUCCUGCUUUGACGCCUGUGAAACAAUUUGUUUCAAUAUCAUAGCACAGUUUUAAAAGUAUGUUUUGACUCCAGAAAUAUGUUUGACCUCAGAAUUUUGAAAGCGUGUUUUGACCUUUAAACUCUUACUUCAAGAAGACAUAUGUGUGCAUGUGUGUGUUUGUAGGGUGUGUGUGUGUGUCUUGUAGAAUCUCACAUUUUAUUCAGUAGCUUAGCUCCAUUUCAAUGCCAG
This 2095-nucleotide long non-coding RNA is filed under the name Homo sapiens (human). Its description in RNAcentral is "HSALNT0355901". Lineage: Eukaryota; Metazoa; Chordata; Mammalia; Primates; Hominidae. The record is from RNAcentral.